GUCCACGCGGUAAACGAUGAACACUAGGUGUGGGUGGAGUCAAUCUGUCCGUGCCAAAGCCAACGCGUUAAGUGUUCCGCCUGGGAAGUACGGCCGCAAGGCUAAAACUCAAAGGAAUUGACGGGGCCCGCACAAGCAGCGGAGCGUGUGGUUUAAUUCGAUGCGACACGAAGAACCUUACCUGGGUUUGACAUGCUGGUAGUAGUGAAGCGAAAGCGGAACGACCCGCAAGGGAGCCAGCACAGGUGCUGCAUGGCUGUCGU
This 263-nucleotide ribosomal RNA is filed under the name uncultured bacterium. RNAcentral describes it as "partial 16S ribosomal RNA". It matches the Rfam family "Bacterial small subunit ribosomal RNA", at positions 793 to 1055 of the family's 1533-position model. The record is from RNAcentral.